GUGCUGGCCUCAAAGCAGAGGCUCAGAAACUUUUUCUGCUUGCUGAUGCAUCUGAAAUCCCUGUUAACUAGCUGGACUAUUUCCCAGCCCUUCGCCAAGUGCCACCCUUGAGGCAUCUCUUAACCACCCCCAACUGCUACCACCCAAGAUAAGCAGGUGUGGCUCUGGGCCCCUCAGCAGCAGGCCAGUGGAGAGGUGAGACUAGCAGUGUGUGGCCUGGGACAGGAGUAGAUAAAAGGCAGCCAUGGAAAGAACUAUUCCUUCCAGCCCAGAACACUGUCUCUGAACAGCAAGAUGGCUUUGAAACGCUUUCACAACGAAGGUGUGCUCCACUGGGCACCACAACAUACGGUUCAGACGUUUAAAGCCUGUCUCAGCCCAAUUUCCUCUCCAUUUGCUCCCUGGGUAAGGUAUCCCCCCUUCAGUGCAGGCAGAACUGGCGACUUGCUUCUAAUCAACAAAAUAUGGCAAAGUGGUGGAGUCUAGAAGUCUGAGAUCAGGGCACCAGCCUGGCCGAGUUCUGAUGGCGUCUCGCUUUGUCACCCAGGCUGGAGUGCAGUGGCGCGAUCUCGGUUCACUGCAACAUCUACCUCCCAGGUUCAAGUGAUUCUCCUGCCUUAGCCUCCCGAGUAGCUGGGAUUACAGGCACCCACCACCACAUCCGGCGAAUUUUUUGUAUUUUUAGUAGAGACAGGGUUUCACCAUGUUGGCCAGGAUGGUCUUGAUUUCCUGACCUGGUGAUCUGCCCACCUUGGCCUCCCAAACUGCUGGGAUUGCAGGCGUGAGCCACCGUGCCUGGCCGACCACUGAUCUUUUCACUGUAUCCACAGUGUUGCCUUUUCCAGAAUGUCAUAGAAUUUGAAUCAUACUAUAUGUUGCCCUUUCAGAUGAGUUUCUUUCACUUACUAAUAUUCAUUUGUUUCCUCCAUGUCUUUUGGCUUGAUAAUUCAUUUCUUUUUAUCACUGAAUAAUAUUCCAUUGUCUGAUGUACCACAGUUUAUUUACGCAUUUACCUACUGAAGGAUAUCAGGACAUCUUAGUUGCCUCUGAGUUUUUGGCAAUUAUGAAUAAAACUGCUAUAGAAAGAUGUGUGCAGGUUUUUCUGUGGAUAUAGUUUUCAACUCCUUUGGGUAACUCCAAGGAGUGUGGUCGCUGGAUCAUAUAGUAAGAGUAUGUGUAGUUUUGUAACAAAUAGCCAAAUGUUCUCCAAAGUGGCAUUAGCAUUUUGCUUUCCCACCAGCAAGGAAUAAGAGUUCCUGUUGCUCUGUAUCCUCACCAGCAUUUGGUGGUGUCAGUGUUCUGGAUUUUGGCCAUUGUAAUAAAUGUGUGGUGUUAUCUCAUUGUUGUUUUAAUUUGCAUUUGCCUGAUGACAUACAAUGUGGAACAUCUUUUUAUUGAAGCUAAUGUUUUAAGCCUGGCAAUUUAGUCUCUUCUCUUCCUGUAACCCUGAGCCACUGAGCACAGCUUUCUCCAGAAGCACCUGUGAGUCACUAUACACCACUGCUAUCUCCUGAAUGCUGGAGGCACUGGAGUGGGCCCUUUCAACUUUCAUUUUCUUAUUACCUAGAGAACUUGGCAUUGGUAGAUGCCCAAAAAAUGUAUGUGAGAUGCCUGCACAUUAAAAGACUGGCUGAAAACUUAAGCAGUAUACUGGUUUAGAUCAUUCAUCGCUGUCGGCAAGAGUAAAAAGCUAUGUAGCAGCAUUCUGAAGUAAUAAGCAACAGGCAUGUUAUUUCAGUUUCCAGAUCAAGUGCUGCUCUCAAAAUUGCAAAUUGACUUCUGGCCAGAGCCCUCUUGGAAGUUUCCUCAUUUUGCAAGUGCAGCUCUUUCCCCUGCUUGACAGGGGAAUGUACUGAGCACUCCCAGAUGGGCCUUUCCCAAGCAGGAACCAAUGGGCCCAAAUGAAUCAAGUUGAAGGAGAGUGAGCAGAGUCAGCAGUGAGAGAAAGACUUAGCUGCAAGGUCAAAAUCCGUCUGAAAACAGACACGAUGGAAGACAGACAGUUCCUCCUGGAUCAUCGUAUAAAGAAAAGGGAUGGAUCAAGACAGGGAUUGCUGAUGCAUAUCUGCUCGCUGUUUGACUACAAAAUACUCUCAUGAUUGAUUCUGUGUCUGCCACCCAAGAUCAGUCUCAAGGAAAUGCUGACAAAACCCUGGCACCCAGAGUCACAGAGCUCAGUUUCCAGCCCUAGCACCACCCUUGAUAACUUGAGUGACCUUGGACUCCUGGUCUCUGCCUCAGUUUCCAAAUUAAAUGAGUGUGGUGAAAACUUCUUCCUGGUCUGCUAUGGUGAAGAAGCAUGGCAGCUAAUAUGAAAUGCCUUGAAAAGCUGACACACUCUAUGAGAGCAAAGUAUUAAUAUUUUCCUCUUAGAAGCAAGUUCUUUUUUUGAAAUGGAGUCCAUUCUCUCUCCAAGUUGGAGUGUGCAGUGCUGUGAUCUCUGCUCACUGCAAUCUCCACCUCCCGAGUUCAAGCAAUUCUCCUACCUAAUCCUACCAAGUAGCUGGUAUUACAGGCACGCACCACCAUGCCCAGCUAAUUUUUGUAUUUUUAGUAGAGAUGGGGUUUCGCCAUGUUGGCCAGGCUAGUCUCGAACUCCUUACCUCAGGUGAUCUGCCCGCCUUGGCCUUCCAAAUUGCUGGGAUUACAGGUGUGAGCCACCGCACCUGGCCAGUAGCAAGUUCUUAAAGUGACCCCUUGCCCAAUCAACAUCUUUUCCUUUUGUCUGUCUCUACUGCAGCACCUAAAACACAUGGGUAAAAAUGUAGAGAAUGCAGAAUUGAGGGGACCAACAGCCUUCAGGAAAAUAAAGAAGCAGAGAAAGAAUAUGAAGGAAGCAUGAGUACAAAGCAAAGGCUCCAAGCCGCAGAUAAUCUAUCCUGGAAAAUGUUCCAUGUGGUGAUGAGAAGAAUGUAUAUUCUGUAGCUGUUGGAUGAAAUGUUCUGGAAGUGUCUAUUAAAUCCUUUUGGACUAAAGUGCUGUUUAAAUCCAAUGUUCACUGUAAAUUUUCUGUCUAGAUGAUCUGUCUAAUGCUAAGAGUAGAGUGUUGAAGUCCCCAUUCACUAUUGUAUUGGAGUCUGUCUCUCCCCUGCGAUAUAAUAAUAUUUGCUUUAUAUAUAUGGGUGCUCAAGUGUUGGAUGCAUACACAUGUUCAGAAUUGUUAUACCCUCUUGGUGAAUUGAUCCCCUUAUCAUUACAUAAUGACCUUCUUUGUCUCUUUUUACUGUUUUUGACUGAGCUGCUUCUGCUUACUUUGGAGUCCAUUGCAUGGAAUGUCUGUUUCCAUCCCUAUAUUUUCUGUCUACAGGUGAGGAGUUCAUAGUGGAAAUGUGGACCACUGGGGGUCUCUCACUUAUCCUUUCCCCAUGCUGGGAAGCCUCUCCAGGCUUCCAGCUGAUCCUAGCUGAGCAGGCAGCCUUGCUUUCUUUCCUUCCUUGAUUUAGGUGUUUCUUGUCACUUCUCUGUUUAAUUCCAAUAUUCUUUUUUAAAUAAUCUAAUCAAAGUGUGAUUAUCUACUCACUAUUUUGGUUCUUCCUUAUAGAGAAGGCAAGUACCAGAUGCCUCUAGUAAGCCAUCUUGAACCCCUCCUCACCUUAUUCUUCUUUAAUUUAAAAGUCCUGUUAUUGAAAUUUAAUGCUUACACCUACCUGGAAUUUAUUUUGUGUAUGGUAUGAGAUGGGGCUUCAAUUUUAUUUUUAUUUUGCAUAUAAAUAAUUAAUCAUACCAAUAACAUUAAAUUUUUUUUCUAACUGCUCUACAGUUCCACCUCUUUCAUAUAUCAAGUUUGCAUUCAUGUAUAGGCCUGCUCCUUCCUUUUAUUCUGUUACAUUGGUUUAUCUGUCUUUUCUGUACCAAUUCCACACAAUUUUAUUUACUCUAGCUUUAUGAAUAGAUUUAUUAUUUGAUUAAAAAUAAACUCCAUUAAAUGUCUGCUUCAAAAUUGCCUUGGCUAUUUGUGACACUUUACCAUAUAAAUUUUAUUUUAUUAUUAUUUACUUUUAUUUAUUAUUUGGUUUUUUUGGGAGACAG
RNAcentral lists this long non-coding RNA (4029 nucleotides) under Homo sapiens (human). RNAcentral's name for it is "HSALNT0221078". Lineage: Eukaryota; Metazoa; Chordata; Mammalia; Primates; Hominidae. The record is from RNAcentral.